Molecule: long non-coding RNA, 824 nt
Organism: Helianthus annuus (common sunflower)
Lineage: Eukaryota; Viridiplantae; Streptophyta; Magnoliopsida; Asterales; Asteraceae
Exons: 6
Source: RefSeq, a predicted model, not a curated record
GAUUCAAUUUUUGAAUCUGUUUAUUCAUCCCCCAUCCCAAGACACUUUUUCUGUUCCUAUUGUUUCUUCUUCCAAGAGAAACCCUAAAACACAAAUCCUCCCAACCAUCUUCUCCACCGGUCCGGUUCUGUUCCUAUCCUUUCUUGAGAAACCCUAAAACACAAACCCUCGCAUCCAUCUUCUCCACCGAUGACACCACCAGCGACCGUCGAAACCAUCUUCUUCUCUUAAAGAGCCGAUGAUCUUGGACAAAAUCAUGGCUGGUUCUCCUUAACAUACCCUCUGUUAGUCUUUACUGAUGCCAGAGAGUAGUCCAUUGAUGAUGAUGAGUUCUUCGCUGCUUCAAUGAAGAGUUGUCGUGUUAUAUGGCUGCUGAUGCUGGUGAUGGUUAGUAAGACCUGUCUGUCAGAACCCUCACCCGCACCUCUGACGGCAAACGACACGAGAUGGGAACUACUCGAAGCCGCCUCUAACCGGAUUCACAUUGAGGAUGGGUCUAUGACAAGUAUACCACCAGGAGAGCAUCAUUACUACUUGUGGAAUCCUGAACAUUUUAUUCAAACGAGCUGUGGGUCCUUAUCUAUUUUUGUGUACGGAGACCAAGAAAAACCACCGUUGAUUACAUAUCCAUGCAGUUUUAAACCAUAUGCUGUUUUUUCAAGGACUAUUCUUCUGUCCCGAAGCAGCUUCAUUGCUCCUUCAUAAUUUCUGCAUUCAUCACAUCAGUCCCCCUGGACACAAGUUAGGAGCAGCAGCCAUAUGUCCUGAUGAAACGGUUCUGUCUGUGGAGGAUCUUUGAGGUUAGAUUCUCGAGAUCCUUAACU